Molecule: ribosomal RNA, 253 nt
Filed under: uncultured bacterium
Lineage: Bacteria
Description: partial 16S ribosomal RNA
Rfam family: Bacterial small subunit ribosomal RNA
Source: RNAcentral
UACGGGGGGGGCAAGCGUUGUUCGGAAUUACUGGGCGUAAAGGGCUCGUAGGCGGCCAACUAAGUCAGACGUGAAAUCCCUCGGCUUAACCGGGGAACUGCAUCUGAUACUGGAUGGCUUGAGAUUGGGAGAGGGAUGCGGAAUUCCAGGUGUAGCGGUGAAAUGCGUAGAUAUCUGGAGGAACACCUGUGGCGAAAGCGGCGCACUGGACCACAACUGACGCUGAGGCGCGAAAGCUAGGGGAGCAAACAGG